CCUGACAAUUAUCACAUCCAAUUCCAGAAUGUACAUUUCCUGCACAUGAGACAAUAGAUUGCUUGGUUAAUGACAGUGGCAUGAUGUCUUCAGAAAUAUUCAAAACCAACGGAAAGACAGUGUCACCUCAUAAGUCAUAAGACAUUUUUUGUUUGUAGAGAAACUGACAAGGUGCAGUGUAACAUGUAAUAUGUAACAGUCCAACUCUAUCUGUAAUAUGUAAUAUGUAUGCAUCUAUAUAUCAAUGUUUUAAAUUAUGCGAAGAGAACCUCUUGACAAUGAAUUAAGCUCCUAUAUAUUGUGUGUUCAUGGACGAGCAGCAGAAGCUUGGACAUCUGCCGGAUUUGGGACCUCGAAACCUGGGUUUGGAAUGAAGGUAUCAUCACCAAAGCCUGGAAAAGUUUGAGUGGUUUCUCGAGUUUACUCUUUUUGAUGUUUUAUAGGCAUAUGUAACAAGCUCAAGGUGUGUUUUCUUAAAUCUAUUUAUAAUUAGAGUAUAAUUUGCAGAUAUUAAGUUGGUUUUGAUUGUUAGAUUUGGGAAUAAUCUUCAUGAAAGUAGAGGAUAUGCAAAAAAUAGAUAGUGCUUCCAGUUCUGAGUUCAGAGUAGUUGAUGCUUUGAUGUCUACAUGGUCUGUCAGAGGUUUUAAAGCAAUAAGAUUAUCUGUCAUGCUUCUCUCUAAAGAUAUGUAUAGAAUGACAACAACAUAAUUAGGUUCCAAAAUGUAAAACUGAGAAAGAAGCAACAUGGAAACACAAGCUGUAAGGGGCUUUGCAUGGAACUUUAACUAAUUUUGCGUGUUUACAAACAACUAAAUUGUGUUUUUGAGUUUUAAGUUUUACCACGUGCUAGUCACGUGAAAUGGUAGUUUGGUCAUUAAGAAAAUAUGGAUGCCUUGGCUCUGGUCAACUGGGUUGACUGACAGUCAAGUGACGAAAAAGGGACCAUUUACUAAUAAACGAUAAAGAUUAGACCAAAUGCUAAUUACCCAUCUUCUAAAGGGACCAAAUACAAAAUACCCCUUAUUUUUACUUGUUAUUAUGGCUGUGAUCGGAAUUCUAUGAAUAGAUUUUUCUUUAUACGUACUAUGAAUCAAUGGAUAUGUGAUUUUGGAAGUUAGCACUCAUCUGUUUUUGUUGAUCGAUAAUUAUGAGCAUUGCUUUAGAAUUAUAAAUUGAAAGAAUCCAAUGUGAAUUCUGUUUGCAGUUGCAUACCUUCUCAAAUGCUUUUUUAAGGGCCAGGAAUAUUUAUAAAAGUUUUUAUUUCUCUUGAUGUAUCACCUAAAAACUGUCAAUUUUCUUCUAUUUUUUGCUUUAAGUAAGCUUCCUGCCCAUAAAUACACUUAGUAUGCGUGUUUUUUGUGGUACCAUGAAUUUUUUUUUUAUAUCUUCAAUUCAGAUAUAUAUGGUGUUUGCACGCGGAAUUACUAUUUAUGGCUAUUUCAUCAAGAAAAAAAAUUGGUGUUCCUGUAAUUAAUUUGUAGACAUAUAUCUCUUUAUUCCAUUUGUUUUUUUGUAAUUUUAGGGUUGGACUAUUUUUGAGAUAUUAAGAUACGCACCCCUGCACAACUGGGCUGCUUAUGAAGAAGCUUUAAAAGAAAAUCCUGUUUUAGCCAAAAUUAGUGUUCCUGUAAUUAAUUUGUAGACAUAUCUCAUUCCUUCAAUCUUGUUUCCAUAUAUUUGUUUUCUCAUAUUCUGUUUAUUGUGUAGUGCUAUGAAGGGAAACCUCUUUUUGAUUUUGAUCGGACGUGCAUGUUCAGAUCAGGCCUUGUUGGAUUCUCUCUUCAUGGCUCUCUUUCUCAUUAUUAUUACCAGUUCUGUGAGGUGAUUGUUUAGGAUCAAUCUUCGAAGAUAUUAGCUACUCAGAGUAUUAGUUGAUUUUGCGUGAAAGCCUGAAAGUUGUUGUUGGCGCUGCAGGCUUUAUUCCCUUUCCAAGACUGGUGGCCGGUGGUUCCUGUUACGGUUGUCGAUCUUUGACCAAACUGCAUGAGCAACAUUAUGGAACAGCAUAUACUAUGUAGUACUCGGGUUAUUGCGUUUCGAAUCCCCAGCCAGCAUUUUCAGUGAACUAAAAGCAACAUUUAUUCCCAUGCUGACUGUAAGAUAUAUCCUCCUUUCUUUAAAUAAUUUACUUUUCAUGAGUUUAGUGUUUUGUAUCAUUCUACAUAUAUACAGACUCCUUCUCUGUUUUCAUAGAACUGAAGGUCUAAAUUGUGGCUAGAAAUAUGUACUAUUUCUCAAAAAGAAGAAGUUUUUAUCUUUCCUUGAUAUUAGUGUAGAAUUUCUUCUGAUUGCAUCAUGUAGUUCAAAUACACUAAAAAGCUGUGUUCCUUUGCUGAAUUAUAAUUCAUUGUGUUUCGCUUUGAGCAGUGAGCAACUCUUGGAAUCACUGGCAAACCAUAUUGAUAUUUUCAAAGCUCUAUCCUUUACGUAUAUGUCUAGGGUUGCAUCAUUGACUCAUGUUUUACUUGGUGGAUCAUUUUCAAUGCAUUUGUAGAGUUGUCAGGCAGUAAGUUGAUGUAAAUGUGUCCAUGGUCAAUGAAGGAUUUACAUACUAGCACCAUGGCCCUUCAAAUGUAGAGGCGCAUAUAGAGCAUGUUGUCUAUGUGAGUUCUGUCUUACUUAAUAACGUAAGUUAGUAAACGUAGGAAAUGGUCUAUAACGUGGUUGGAGACUUGGAGUUAGUAAACUAUUGGUGUGGUUCUUGGCUUAGUUGGAACACUGUAUUUGAGCUUUGAUUUUUAUGAGUUGGUAUUUGCAUAGAGCUUCUAUAUUCUCUAUUAAAUUAUCUCUAUGUUGUUUGUUUGACAGGUAGGAUGGAAGCUCUGGUCUUUUGCUCAUCUAAUUACGUACGGUGUUGUUCUAGUAGAACAAAGACUUCUUUGGGUUGAUUGUGUGGAGCUUAUUUGGGUUACAAUACUCUCCACGUAAGUACUUAAUAAUAACACAAAGAACAUGUCAUCCACUUUCAUUGGAAGUGAACUCUAGUACCCUAUCAAUUAGCUCUGAGGUAUUUUGCGAAAUAUAUUUUACAGUAACAUCUGGUUUUGUUUGUGUUUUGACAUUAGCAGAUACUCUACUGAAUUUUAUUUGCUAACAUACUCGAUUCUAUGAAAUUGACUCCUACUAGAAAGAGUGAGUGACUUCCUCAAUCUGUGCAUAGAUUGUUACGAGUUGAUGCGGAAGCAGUGGAAAUAUCGAAUGCAGCCUGACAUACUACUUAUGGUUCAUUGCUGGCUUUUCAUCGAAACUUUAAUGUGUAUGUAAGUCCUGUUUGACCCUAUUUAAGAAUCAUUGCCGUGGUUCUUCAAAUCAUAAAUGUUGUAACAUAUGUCAAUAUAAGUUACUCUGUAGAUUAUAUUCAUUCGAAAAUUUGCAUUUACUUUGUAUAAAACCACCCUCUCCAUGAUUCAAUGAAACAGUGGAGAAAAAAUAGAGCUCAACAAACUCUUACUUUCAUCUUUUUUUUUUCUUUUUCUUUUCCUUUUUCUUUAAUUAUAAUUUUUUUUUCAUUAAAUUCCAAGACCCCUGAAAGCUACUUCACAAGGCCCGAAGGUGUUACAUCUGAAACUAGGCCAGUAGGCUAUUCUAUGUUGUUGACACCUAAGUAUCCACGUCACCUCCAUGUCACAAGAGUAGCCGUGUUACUCUAUAAACACUUGCUUUUGUUUUGCUCCACCUAAGUAGAUCAUGAGUAAAAUUCCUCUAACCGUUUUCUAGAUGAAUUGAACCCAGAACCUCCCAACUUAGAGAGGGAUGUCUUUACCGACAGUGUUACCAGUUUUUGGCACUCUUACUUUCAUCAAUUGCUCUCUUUUGAUGCAUUAAUAUGUAUGCAAAUCUCUAUUCAGAAUAUAUACUCGUAUUUUUACUUUCAAUAAAAUUUCAAUAUAUAGGAAAUUUUAGUUCAGAAUUGCCUAUACUCUUAUUUUAAUAAAACAGCUCGGUUGUUAAUCCUAAAUAUACACUAUAUAUCUACAUUUUUAGUAAGAUUGGUCCAAAAAAACCUAGUGGUCCUAGAAAGAAAAACGAAGAGAUAAUUACUGUCUACGUUGACUGUGUCGUCACAUAGCCUAUUAAUAGAGCUCCUUUUGCAGUCUUAGAUUAUGGUACAAAGUAGGUUUUACUGAUCUAGGCAUCAAAUUUUGGAAUGUGGCUUCUUGUGCAUCUCGGCAUGGCAUCCCUAACAUUGUAUUAGUCAAAGUACCACUCUGUAUCUUUCCUGGUUAGGGAAGUUAUCUUACCUAACCUGUUAUCCAUAAUAAAGCCUAAAACUAUCAAUGAAUUAAACACCAAGUUGAGGAAUGAGUGAUCUGUCGGUAGACAUGCCGCUAGAUUCCUGCAAUUAUCUGAUGUAGUCCAAAGAAUAUAUAUUUUCAGUUGUCAUUUUUGUCAAAGCUCACUAAAAACUGUCUUGCACAUUCGCAAAUCCUCAAUGUGAUAACGAUCACAUGGAACAAGAUUUUUUGCUGACAUUCGGUAUUCCUUGCUGGAACUAGAUUUUGUGCUGAACUUUGAAGCAUACUGACAAAACCCAUUCUCUAUAUUCUUGUGUUAUUCUGAGGAAGUAGCAGUGUUCUACGGUGGUAAUGGUAUUUCUUAUAAUUGUCCAAUGGUUAGUUUUCGUUUGGCACCACCGAGCAGACUGCGGUAGUUAGAAGCAUAAGGAAAAACAGCAUUCAAGACUACUGCCAUCGCCAGAACAGACUAACUUGAAAUUUAUUCAUUGCAAACACUCAGCAAAACAAAACAUCAUAAUGCAACUUAGGAAGAAACAUUUUGAAAUAAAACCACAAUGAAAAUAACACUAGCUAGCAAUAGAGAUCUUCACCAUUUCUAAACUACUGUUUUGAUAAGAGAACCUCUUUACAAUGAAGCUCCUACAUGUCGUGUGUUUAUGGAUGAGCAGCAGAAGCUUGGACAGCUGCCGGAUUUGGGACCUCGAAACCUGGGUUUGGAAUGAAGGUAUCAUCAAAACCUGGAAUAUACUAGUGGUAUUGUCUUCCUGGUAGGUUGUUAUAUCCAACACCAAAGCCUGGAAAAGUUUGAGUGGUUAAUGGGACAUCUUGAUUAUGCUUAUUCUUAGCAUUGCUAUUAAUGGUUCUUGGAAUUUCCCGGGCUACGAAAGCAAAUUGGGUCAUGACAAGAAACAUGAUAAGGACAACAAGGUAACUCCAUGCAUAAUGUCAGCAUAUUUAUAUUACGUAAUAAACAGUUUAUCAGCAUAUUUAUAUAAAGUAAUAAACAGUUUACAAGUAACUCCAUGCAUAACGUCAGGUAAAUUCCACAAACACAAUUCAUUUAACCUAAUUCUGUUGCAAUAUCAAUGCCCCUUCAAAUGCUCUGCAAUCCUGGUAGGUUCCACAAACACAAUUCAUUUAACCUAGGCAGUGUGAUGGGUGUUUUGACACUUCCUAUUUUUUUUUUCUUCGUCUUCUUCUCCUAUCAACUCCUCCAUUUCUUUACAAUCAAAGAUAUAUAACACUUCAAGAUUCUGAAGCAGCUGCAGCAACCUAGAUGAGUAUAAUGAAUAUUGUUCUUGGAGGAUUACCUAGACGAAGUUGAGAAUAAUAGCAGUGUGGUCCAAUCGCUACAACCCAUUAAAUUUGGCCGAUCUAACAUAGCUAGUGUAAUCAGACAAGCUAUGGAAAGUGACAUUAAGAUUCUCCAACUCUUUCAAGCUCAGCAAUUCCUCUGCAAAAAAGCAGAGUGCUGAUAACAUUAACAACACUUCUUCUUUGUCCAUCAAUGUAUUAGCACAAACUACCCUUCUUUCUCUACAUUUGCCAAUGAUCCAUGUGAACCUUAUGCAGAAGAAAUCACUUUCUUCGUUUUCCUAUUGAAUGAAUUGCAUUCAAUUACAACCAUCUCCAUUCCACAAACCAAGACAAUUUGUACAAUCAUAUUGUUAGAACUUAUUGGCAAAACCAAAUCAAUACAAAAAAUAUUACUCCAUAUUGAUAUCAUCAUAUCAGCCAAUUCAGUUGCAUAAACAUGGGGUGAAUUUAAAUCUGGGUAACAAUGAAAACACAAUAGAAUCCCAAGACAAAUUGAACCUAAUAAUAAUGAAAACGCAUAAAUUGUUCAUCAAUAACUUUCAAUAAGCAAAAUAGUUGAGUGCAACUUCAAAAGAGCCCCAGAGAAUAUAUGAAAAAGUGCAGUCCAUAGAUCUUCUGCAGCAUCAUAAGAAACCACUGGGAAAGAACUGCACUAAUAAUGUACUGUAACGACCAGUAUGAUGUACCACUCCUUCAUAUGAACUUAUUAACUAGCUCAACUUUAUGCACUGUUUUGCUCUUCAACGGUAUGUACAGGAACUGGACUGUCUCCACGGUUUGCAAUAAGCUCAAAGGUAUGCCCUUUUGUGUUAUGCUGAUUGACAAAAUCUGAAUGCUUCGAGGGAGUAUUAUAACACUCUUCACACAAAUCGAAACCUAUCAAUCCCUCAGUGACAACAACACGUUCCUCAUGACAUUCCUUGCAUUUGUAUCGCUUUCCGACUAUUGGCCUCAUCUGUAGAGGUCAAUUUAGGUGGUAAGAGAAGACUAAAGGAUGAAGCUACAAAGAGGAAAGUAUUGUAUGUCUGAAAACUUUACACAAACUUCGGCUUCCUGAAUGCAGUUAGAGAAUGAAGUAUGGGAGCAAUAAACCCCACAAUUGACCCACACACUAUGACACUAAUGCUUAUCACCUGGUGGAGUGCAAAUUUGUGGACAUACACUAAAUGUAUGUCCAUGGGACAGCCUUAUUUCAUUGGGCCACGUGGUUCGAAAUUCACGUUAGUAUUAUUUUUAGAAACCCCUUUUUUUUUUUUAAUUUUUAUUAAAAUAAAACUUAAGUGAAUUUUGGACCACGUCGCCCAAUGAAAUAAGACUGAGCGUAUAUCAACAAAUUUGCACUCCAUUCUAGCAGUCUGAUGUCUUCUUCUUUUCACAAAUUUAGGUACAGUAUAUGAUUGUUUAGCAAAACUCUAAAAACAGAAAAUAAAAAGAAGCCAGACAAGAACAUACAAUCUAUCAGAACAAAAUUAUCAAUCAGAACGGACCAUUUGCAGCUUAUAUGGAUUAAAGUACCCUGAAUUUUACAUAAAUUGAAUCAAAAUGCAAGAAGGAUGUUACCUUACAGUUAUCGCAUCCAGUUACAGUGUGUAUAUUUCCUGCACAUGAGACAAUAGAUUGCUUGGUUAAUGAUAGUGGCAUGACGUAAUACAUCAAAUCUUUACUACUAAUGUCCUCAGAAAAGUUCAAGACCAAUGGAAUGGCAGACAGUGUCACUUCAUAAGUCAUAAGACGUAUUUUUCUUUUAGAGAAAGUAACAAGGUAUACUUAAUGGCAGUGUUGAUAAAUGGGUAGGGGUAGGUCUAACAGUCCAACUCUUGCCAAAACCAAAAGAAAUGUAUGAUGCAUGUAUGUAGGUAUCUAUAUAUCAAUGUUUUAUAGAAAUGGGCCACUUCAUCUUCUGGUAGGGAUGUCGACAAAAUGCGUUAUAUGUCAAAUAUUUUGAAUAUGGUAAUCGGAUCAACUUCAUGGUUAAUCUACUCUACAAUUUUAAAAUAAAAAAUAUAUGGAAAUGCGUUGUAUCUCUCCCUUAUGCAUUUAUCAAUGUAAUUUGAGUCAUGACAUAAAAAAUAUAGAUAAAGCAGUAAACUUCAUGGUUAAUCUACUCUUCGAUUUUAGUUUAUCUUUUGGGAAUAUCGUGAUGAACAACACUAUUUUUGGGUUCAGACACAGUGGCAGCAAUCGGGGUUUAAUUAGCUUCAAUUUUGAAAUAUAGUUGACCAAAACAUUGCACUUGCUUUUAAUUAGCUUCAAUUUGGAAUUUGUUUUUGAAUGAAAUAUAUCUCCAUUAAAGUCGGAACUUAAUUAAUCGUUGGGCAAUGCGGUUUUCCAUUUCGUUUUAGUAAAAAACAGAUGACAUAUAUAAAUAGGCAUACUUGAAGAAGUAACCAACGAAUUACUUAACAAAAGAACAAAUAAUUUAAUUAAUGCAAUUGAUUGAAUUAACCAUUCAAUCAACGAAUUACCAACGAAUUUACUCUAGUGAAUGGUCAAUUGAUUUCAACGUUGUAGUGGAAACUUAUAUAUAACAUAACGUUUGUGUAUUUGGUUGUGAUUUGUGAUAAUGCUUUAGUUAACUAGUUGAACUGAAACCAAUGCUCAAACAUUUGCAUUGUGUAGUUUGCCAAUAAUUACGAACUGAGUGCAAUAGUAGCACAUACCACACCAACAAACGCACUUAUGGUCAGCGCGUUGCGCGUGCAAAAAUAUGAACAAAAUGUUGACAGCUUCUUUUGUUAGAGUUGAAAAGAAAAUCCACACAACACAAUGUCGACAGCUUUUAUUGUUAGAGUUGAAGAAGAUUUCAUUUCAGAAUAAAUAUAUUCGCAAAGCAACGCAACGCUCGGAUAUUUCCAACUUUACAGGUUUUGAACAAGCAUCUUGUUCAAUCCAAAUCAAACUCAGGUCUUCGUCUUUCUCUUUCUCUGUCUCUCGCUCUCUCUUUCUCUCUCUCUCUCUAUGUUAUUUCUACUAUUCUAUCAAAAUAUAUCAAAAAAAUCCUAGAAUUUAUUACAAUCCAUGAGAUUAUCUAAUAAUAUCUAUUGGAGUAACUUUCUUGUUUUAUCAAAUUUUAUCUUGCACAACAGUAUAUCUAUCAAAAUUUGUAUAUUUUAGCUUUUUGAUGCGAGGUUUUUGAUUCUUGAAAUAAUAACUGGAAAUUGGGAAAUCUUUUAUAGAGUUUAUAUUGAUAUCAAUUUUGUUAUUUGAAGAAAUUAUUACAGAUUCUAGUUUGUUUUAAUAGACAAAACAAAUUUAGGCAUUUUUUACUUGUCAAAAGGUGAAAGCUUUUUGACCAUUCACUAUAGUAAAUAUUUCAUUCUACAUACCUUCUUCUUCUACUUCUUCUUCUUCUUCUUCUUCUAAAUAAGUCGGAUUUUCUACGAACAAAUCAAAAUAUACUACAAUGAAAAGAAAACAGAAAAAAAUUUGAACACAUUUGGAGUGAUAAAUCAAUCCAUACAUACCUUGAAGUUCUAUGAAGAAGGGUUGAAGGAUAUUUUGGGGAUAUGCAGGAUCCCAUUCCAGUGAAUCCCACCAUUUUCUGCUUCCUUUAAUAUUUUUCAGAGAUGCUGGUGGUUGUAUCGAUUGAUCUUCUCCCUUAAAUUGAGGGAGCUUCUUUAAUUCAGAACAAUUGCCAUGUACCCAAACUUCUUCGAGAGAGUCACUAAUCAUCACGCCCCUCCAAAUGCUCUUCAAUUUCGGUAGAUUCCUAAACACCAAGUUUUUAAUCUUAGGGAAUUGAACUGCGAUGGGUGUUUCAACGUUUCUUCUGUUUUCUUCUUCUUCUUCUUCUUCUCCAAUCAACUCCUCCAAUUCGUCACAUCCAUUGACCCAUAUCUUUUCAAGGUUUUGGAGCAGCUGCGACAACCUAGAUGAUGAUAAGACAUUCUUGAGAUUAUGACAUCCAUAGAUUCCCAACUCCUUCAAGCAGAAGAAGGAAGGAGGAAUUGGAAUCCCCUUAAAAAACGUGUACAAUUUGGGGCAGUCAUAGAUAUCUAUUCUUUCCAGGCAUUGUAGCCAACAAGUAGAAGAAGUACCAGUACCAGUACCACUCAAACUCAAUUCUUCUUCUUUUUCAUCUUCUGACGACGACCACCACCAUAUACACUCUAUUUUGUUACACUGGUCAAUUCUAAAUGCUACAAGCUCUCUUACAUCCUUUAUUAACUCAUUUAACCUUGUCAACUCAUUUAACCUUGUCAAAUCAUUGAACUCAUUUAUUGCAACACGUUUAGUGUUUUGGGGGAAAAAAUGGGCAUUUUGAGCACUACCUUCAUCUGAGUAAGAUAAUUGAACUGUUGCCCUUGGAGGAACACCUAGAUGACUAGUAAGAUAAUUGUACUGUCCUCCAACUGCUAGAUAAAAACAUUUCAACCCAUUAAAUUUGGAUGAUCCAACAUAGCUUGCAUAAUCAGACAAACAAUGAAAACUGGUGUUAAGAUUCUCCAACUCUUUUAAGCUGAGCAAUUCAUUUGCAAAACAUUCACCGCUUCCAACGUCAUACAAUUUAUCCACUUUUAUGGCACCAAGGUACAACUCUUGCAAUGCAGACAACUUUGAUAUUAAUCCAAGUGGAAUUGUCUCCCUCAAACUUACAAGAUGGAGGUUAAGGCAAUUAAGUUUGCCCAACAUUUCCAUACCUUCAGGAAGUUCUUCAAUGGCAGUAUUAUUAAGUUCCAACCUUCUCAAUCGUACGAGUUUAGCUAGUGAAGGCACUUUCUUCAACUUCCUACAAUAACUUAAACGUAAAUCAUGUAGAUUCACCAAUUCAGAGAUGGAAUCUGGCAACGAUUCUAAAUGAUGAUUUGCUUUGCCCCAAUCACAUCGCAAAUCAAGUACCCUGAGGCACUGCAUAUGGAUAAAGAAAUCGUGUGUUAUACUGCUUAUGAAAUGAUUGCCUCCAAGAAAUAAGGUAGAGAGCUUAGGGCAUCUUGGACUGAUUGAAACCUUUGAUAUCAUAUUAUUCAUAAAAGAAGCCCUCUCAGGAACUUCUUCCCAUGCUACUUCACUUGGUAAUACUUGCAAUAGGGAACCAGCUUUGACCAUGAAAUGCUUACGUGUGAUACAAGAAGCUCAUCCUGUCUACUUCUUCCCUCGACCAUACCAUCCAUGAUCCAAAAGUCAACCAAUUCCCUUGCUAAAAUUUCAUAAUCCUCAGGAUACAAUGCACAACAUAAGAAAGAUUUCUUUAGUAUUUCAUUGGGCAACCGGUCAUAACUGAAUUUUAAACGUUCAAAGACAAUGUCUUCGCUAUCUAUGAUUCGGUUGCUAAAGUUCCUCAAAUCAUUCAAAGCAACUGUCCAAUCCCAAAGGUCACCAUUUCCUCUCAUAGCUGCAGCUACUGUGAUUAUCGCCAGUGGCAAACCAGAACAUUCCUUAGCGACCAACUUUGCAGUCGACAUUACUUCAGGAGUAAGCUCAUCAACUUUAUCUAAAAAUAACUCCCAAGCUUCUUCUUCAGUUAGAGUUUCUACCUUAACAAUGGCUGCGCGACAUCCCAUCUUAUUGCAAACUUCUUUCUUCCUGGUAGUUAAUAAUACUUUGCACCCAUUGUCUGUAGUGGGUUCAGGUAUACCUAUCUUGUCAAGAGGAAAUUCUUGCCACAUGUCAUCCAAAAUAAAUAGGAUCCUUUUCCUCCGUUUCAGCGCCUCAUGUAACUUUCCCAUCCUUUCUAUUUCAUCUUGUUCAUUUGAUAAAUCCAAGUCAACCUUUUUCCCAAUAUCAAUUUGUAAUCCAUGAAUAUCCUUAGCUUUUGAUAGAGUGACCCAAAUAAUCUUAUCAAACUGAUUAGACUUUUCUAGGAUUCGAUUAUUCAUAACCAUUGCCAUCUUGGUUUUACCAAUUCCACCCAUUCCGUGCACUCCAACCACUCUACUUUCACCAUCCAUUAGAAGUUCCCAAACCUUCUCUAAAGAUUUUUGAGCCGUAGUUUCCCCAACCAAUUUUUGUGCAGGUAGUUCCACUCCAAUCUUUGGUACUUGUGAUGUGAGAGUGCCCUUUAAUAAUUCAGUACCUAUGAGAAUAAGUUUAUCCACCUCCAUGAUCAACACUGAGAUACGUUGUCCUAAAUUAAAAUUUGAACAACAUUUAGGCAAUACACGAUUUAAGCACCUCUUUGAUGUUUUGAACUCUCCUUCGAUGAGUUUUGUGUCUUCCAAAAUACGUUGGACAUUUUUUAGCCAAGAUUCCACAACAUGUGUAGGAACCUCCCCUCGGUCAAUCCUUGUUGUGUGUAACUUGCCAUUUACAUCAUCCUUCAAGGCAAUUAAUUCUGUCUUCACUAUUAUCAACUUCUUAAUUUCUUUCUUGGUAUUAAUCAUAUGCUUGCAUCGUACAAAAAUUUGGGUAUUUAAACAAUUCUGUUGACAAAAACAACUCAAAAGAGUACCGAUUGCAGCAAUUAUUUCAGCCAUCCUGCCAUUAUAACACAACAUAAAUGUAAGAAUAAGGAAAACCUUUUAAAGUGAUUGGCACGUACAACAGGAUAUGAACUUGAACAAGUUUGAUGGUUUAUAUAUAUUCUACUACAGAGAAAAAAAAAAAACAAUCCGUCAAAUUCAAAGUAAAAGUUUAUGGAAUAUAUAUAAUAACAUUGUAAUUUGUCCUUAUUUUUGCGAUAAAAAAAAAGAGAUCUUAGUCACACCACAUAUAUCUCUCAUACACCACAUUUUUAGAUAAAUUUUGAAUAAUUGUGUUUUUACGGAUUUAUCCUUAUUAUUUUAUUUGGCACACUACACAUUAAUUUUGGUUUUGUUUCUUUUAAAAAUUUUACUUGCCAAACAAAAUCUAGUAAAUAAGGAAAUGUUGCUAAAUUAAAUCUAGCAAAUAAAGAUAUUUUUAUUUUAAAUGGCAAGAAAGGAGACCUGAUAGUGGUAGAUGGGCAAGUGGCCACAUUUGAGACUUUACUAGAACACUAAGUGAAUUUGCACUUGUCGAGCACGUUCUAUUUUUGAAAAAUAUAUUAAAUGAACUCGUUAUUAGUUAUGAAAAUGAAACUGUAUUAUGUUAUUUAUGCAUGGCAAACUGGGUUUUUGAGGACAUGUGGCAAGAGUUAGAAUCUUUAUAAAUAUGGGAAUCACGCAUAUGAACUGUGCGUGCAUAUUAACAUAGUCUAUAUAAUAGUUGAACCCAAGGGGUCCCACUUACUCUUUUCUAGGUGGCAUCGUAAUUGAUCUGCAACUGUCACACUUUUUCUCCUUUUUUAAAAUGUAAAAUAAAGCAGUAAAAAUCUAAUUGGGUAGAAUUUAUAAGCUGAGAAUCCGCCUAUAACCCCACAAAUUGGAUUAAUAUUCGGGUUAAUGGGUUGGUUAUGGUUUAGUCUAAUGAAUCAAGUUAUGUUUUUUUUUUCUUUUAAAUAAAUUAUAAUCGCGUUAUUUAAAUGUGUGGGAAAUAAAAAGAUUUAUAUUAACAUGAGUUCACAAUUUAAAAUCUCUAUAAAAUGUACAUUGUGUCUAAUACGUACACUCACUAUUAUUGAAUAUCACAAGUUGUUGAACCCAUGCUACACAACGGGAUUUGUGUUAUCCGAUAAAUGGAGGAUCACUUAUAAUACAUGGUAUUCCCCGAAGGAUUUCUAUUACCUUAUUAGAUCGUUGCAAUUGUGUGAUUGUGGAACCGAGCUUCUUUUAAUGUCCUUUUCAACCUAGAUUUGUAGAGAUUUACAAUUAAUAUUUUUUGUAUUUAGUAUGGUUUUUAUAAAAGAAUUGAGGACUUUAAAUAGAAGAAGAAUUUAGUAGAAAAAGAGAUUUAGAAGUCGGUGAGGGUUUUAAGGUUUCUAUAAAUCUAUGCUAACAUUAGGAGUGUCAAUGGUUAGCCGAUUAACCGAAACCAAUUAUAGCGCUUUUGGGUUCUAAAAUUGUUAAAAAAAAAUAAGAUGGACAUUUUGAAAAUCGAACCGAUAGAAUCCGAAACCGAUAUGAUGUAGGAUAUAUUAUCAUGUAUUCCAUCUAAUAUGAUGUAGAAUAUACUGAAUAUUAUUAUUUUAUUUCUAAGUUCCAAGUAGGAUCAAGAAAAAAAUAUUCUUUUACAUCCAAGUAUAUUACACACGUUCUACUACAAGCUCUCUAAAAUGGUUUGUUUUCUGCAACAACAUUUUUCUUAAGAUCCAAUGACACCUAAUCAACAAGAUUUUGUUUCAAGGAAAGACUUUGAUGCAGGCAUCAAUUCUCUUAAAGAAACUCAAGCAUAGAUGAAAUCUUCACAAGAUUUUAUUUCGAAGCUACUCAAAUUUCGUUGAAAGAUUCUAUUGAUCAACUCACCCGCCAAAUUUCUCUAAUACUCAAACGUAAGAACAAAAUAGAUGAAGCGAUCCCUGUAUCUACAUCAAAUAUUCCAGCCACCAUCAUCCCUCUCCCCUCUACACCUAUUGUUCCCUCCACCAUCCAACCAAUUUCAUCUUUUUCUCAAGAGGAGAAUGUUGAUUUUAACCUAGCCGACUUAUUUAAAGAUGAGGAGUUAUUGCAUGUUCUACCUUUUCUACUUAUCGAUAAGUAUCCAAAAACGUAAUUUUUAUCCCUAAUUAGUAUGAUGUUGGAACUCACUUUUGGACAUGAAAAUUCUCUUCUUCUUUUAGUUUUUAAUUUUUAUUUUAUGUCAUUUCAUUCAAUAGAUUUUAGUUUAGUAUUAUGUUAGGUUGGUCCAUUUUUCAAAGGAGAGAUGGAACCUUUUUUCAUAUAUGUAGUAGUUAGUAUAUGAUUUGUUAAGUUUUAAUCUAUUAGAAUAAUUCUAGAGAUUAAAGAUUUAAUACUUCGAGAAGAGGUAGAGGUAAGUUAUUGCAAUAUUUUAUUGUGAAACGAAGUAUAUAACGGUGUUCAUUUACUUUCUUCUUAGUUCUUUAAAUUCUCUUAGUAGGUGGAAUAUACACUUUGCUAUAGUUAUUUGGGGACACAUUGAGUGACGCUUUAAAAGACGAACGUACUCUUUCUUGCCACCAACAUAAUAGUUGUACAUUGUGUUGUAGUAUUUCCUCAUAUUUUAAUGAUAAGAAGUAUCGUUGAUUUUUUAGAAUUGGUAGACUCUAAUGUAGAUAGAAUAAGUGUUUCAUAUCAUAUCUUUCCAUUAUGCAUUUCGCAUCAUCUUAGUGUGUAAUGAGUAUCUAUCUACAGAUUAAUCUUGAUAAAUCUAUAUAUUAAUUAUUAUACAUGUUUGUAUCGGUGGACUCAAUCUCUUGAAACUCUUAUCUUAUUUAUCUUCUUAAAAUAUUUCUUUCAUUAGUAGUAGUUAAUCAUCAUUAAUACCUUGCAAAAUCAUUUGCCCCCUUAUUAUCUAGAUUAGUAAAAAUGAAUUUCUCUUAUUCAUUUAACUUGGUUCUCUCUUAGACGUGGAUUCAAUAACCCUUUCUUGAAGUUAUACUCAUUUUAGAUAGUCAAAGCAAGGUUUUAAAAAGCGUGAUCUAAUUAACGACUAUUUCGUGCAUUCACUAUGUGUUUAAAAAUCGUUUUAGUUUAGAAGCCCUUUUUAAACAAGCUUCUUGCAUCUUUUAUAAAAAAAUCUUUAGGUUAUUGUAAUAGAUAGGUUGAUUAUUAUUGAAUUGAAUAGAAGAAUUGCUUCUUGAGUUAUCUUUUGUUUCUUGUUAGAUUAUUCAUCAUUUCCUUCUUUUUUACUCGGUGGAUUCCAAGUUUCCAUUCGUAAAAGAUUCCUAACUAUUUUUCCUCUUCUUCUUUGAGAAAUUCCUAAUCUCUUUCUUCCUUGAUUUACAUUACCAUCAAACACCGAUGAAACAUAAAAUACAAAUUAAUCAAGCCAUAACUUGGAUCUAGAAUAAAUUCCAGAUCUGAACCAAGCUUGAAAUGUUGGAAAGUAAGAACUUUCUCAUCUUGAAAAAAAAAAGAUAAAACAAGAAGGAAGAUCACAUAGAGAAGAAGACUAGCCACCAACGAUUGAAAUCUGGCGUCAUGAGAGGAAUUUGAUUUGGUUAGGUUUUUUUCUCUAGCGGCUAGGAUUUUUAGUUGGCUUAACCAGUAGAGAUCUAUAUUAUUUACACUUACAUGUAUAAAUAGUGGGUGGGAAAAAGAGUUUAAUUUGUAUUGGAUACCUUUUUUUUGCAAUUAUAGGAUUUGCAAUUAAAAAUAGUGCCUAUGCCGAUUCAUACAGUAUAAUGGGGUGGGUUGGGUUAACCCUUUUUUUCUUGUAAUUUGAGCGGAUUUGGUGGGUUUGAUAAUUUUAAUGUACGUGCUAUAAUUAGAUCAUGAAUGUAAUGCAUAUGGUGUUGCUCUUUCAAAAGAUAUACGCAUUUCUCCAAUCUUUAACGUACAUGACAUAUAUCCAAUCUAUGAUUCACGUGAAGUUUUGGUUUGCGAGAACUCGAGGACGAUGCAGAGCAUCUUGACUUGAUGAGUUGACUGACAAUUUCCUAUUUCAUACUUUGAGUGUAUUGGUUUAGAAAUCCUUGUGUAAACUAAACUUCGUUUCUAAGUUAUGUUUUUGCUAUUUAGGUGUCUUUAUAAUAGUCUAAAAGAGUCAUUUGAGUUCUACUUUGUUUAGGAUUCCUUAAAGGAAAUGUAUUAGGAGGUUUACUCAGUUUUUAGAUCAGUUAUCAAGAGUUAUCUAUAUAAAGAGGUGUAAAACCAAAAUUUUCUUUAGUUAUUCAUUCAACUAUCAAAGUUCUACUCUUUUUUAGCAAUUUUCUUUCAAGUUUAUAGUGUUAGAUUCAAUUAUCACUCUUCCCUCUAUGUCAGACGUAAAUAAGCCUAGGGCUGAAGACGGGUCAGGUAUUGUUUUGGGUACAAACCUAACACAAAGAAUAGGAUUCUGUCUACACACAUUGGAAAAGUAUGAAUUUAUAGCAAAAAAAAAAAAAAAAAAAACAGUUAGAAUGCAAAGAAAAACUGACUCCUAAAAUUCAAAAUUGUAUUUUUCUAUUUAUUUACCUUAUGUUGGAACUUUCUUCUUUUGCUGUAGUUCCUUAGCAAUCCUUACACUGACUACACAAUGAAGAAACCAGUUCUGUUUGAGAGAAAGAAAACAUGUUAUUUAAAAAUAAAGGCAAGAAGAAAGUCUGAUAGUUGUAGAUGGGCAAGUGACUAUGCGUAAGACUUUACUAGAACAUAUACGAAAUGGAUCUGAAUGAGAACAAAAAAUAUCACAAUUUUCCUCUGUUGUUGUGGAAUUGACAUACAUCACAAGUUGACGUGGUUUACAACAAAGGGAGGUCAAGGUUGGGUAUAAAGAAGUUCAUCCAUACCUAAAAGUUGCAAGUACUCUUAGCUUGUGAUGAACUGUAUUUCAUCCAUACACUUUACUAAACUGUAUUUCAAUCUAACGCUAAAAAGGGGUUGAACUCAAAGGGCUUUUCUUACGUAUUUACCUUAUGUACCAAGCAAGUUUUGUUUCUUAAGCACUAACCAAACAGUGUGAAGAACCAGAUCUGAAAGAGUGAAAGAUAAAAAAUUAAUAUUAGAAAAAAUUGAAGUUCAAAACACUUUGACUUCAGAGCAAAGUAUCUAUGUAUAUCUAUGUCUAUGUAUCUUCAAAGCAAGUGACCAUACCUGAGACUUUACGAGUAGAACUUGUAUGAAUUAGAUCUGAUUGAGAAGGAAGUUAAUUUCUCAAGAAGAAGGAUAUAUAUCUUUGUAUGCUCAAAGAGACUAUUUCUAAGAAAUAAUGAUCAGACUUCAGAGGAGACCAUAGUUGCAGGAGUCAGGGGAGGAGUCUGGCAGCACUUAUUUUUCAGUCAAGUACUAGUAGAAUGACAACCACUUAUUUUCU
RNAcentral lists this long non-coding RNA (17261 nucleotides) under Aquilegia coerulea. RNAcentral's name for it is "long non-coding RNA (ACOE_LNC001956)". The record is from RNAcentral. Lineage: Eukaryota; Viridiplantae; Streptophyta; Magnoliopsida; Ranunculales; Ranunculaceae.